Molecule: ribosomal RNA, 300 nt
Filed under: Globorotalia menardii
Lineage: Eukaryota; Foraminifera; Rotaliida; Globorotaliidae
Description: partial 18S ribosomal RNA
Source: RNAcentral
ACUCAAUCCUGGACGUAUCUCAAUUAUAUGUGGCGGUGUCUGUCAUGGAAAGCAGCCUACGUUGUUUCAUACGUGCAGCUGUGUCGCCUCUGAGUUAUUGUCAUUUGGAGAGUACGUGAAUGCAACGAACGUGACCGUAGUGUUUUAGUUUGCAUUUCAAACAAGUGACAUUCAUUUGACACGGUUUGUAUUCCGGCUACNUAUCAUCCCAGUGCAUAACCAUAACCAUUGCAACUAUACAUACCACUGCUUUCUUUUCUCUAACCAGGGGAAGGUUGCGGCAAUAACAGGUCUGUGAUG